Mobula hypostoma (lesser devil ray) is the source of this 392-nucleotide long non-coding RNA. RefSeq lists it as uncharacterized. The record is from RefSeq and is a predicted model, not a curated record. NCBI's taxonomy places the organism in Eukaryota, Metazoa, Chordata, Chondrichthyes, Myliobatiformes, Myliobatidae. The transcript is spliced from 3 exons.
AACACUCUUGACGUCAAGACAGCCUGGAGAUAUUAAAGUCUGCUCUGACACUUGUGUGUUACGAGAGCGAAAGCAGAGACCCGGCGAGGAGGAUUACAGAGCAGCCGCCCGCUCACUUCGAACUUUGAUGGACUCCAGAUCUUAGAGUUGCGAGGAUUCACCGCUGGAAGAAUGAGGAGUCAGGCGAUGUCUUUGCUAUUGGUCCUGAGUUUUUACAGCAUGUGUUCAAUGUCUUCAGUGCAAACAGAAAUAAUACCAUCAGAAGGCAAACUUCUGGAUCGUCUUUACAGCCUAAAGUUGUUUCAGGGUGACCAAGAUUAUGGUGACUAUGAAGAUUCAAAAUAUGAGAAAGAGAAACAAAUGAAACGAAGAUACCCAUACAUUUUGAAAAG